GGCAGCAGUAGGGAAUCUUCGGCAAUGGGCGAAAGCCUGACCGAGCAACGCCGCGUGAAUGAUGAAGGCCUUCGGGUUGUAAAAUUCUGUUAUAAGGGAAGAACGACUUUAGUAGGAAAUGGCUAGAGUGUGACGGUACCUUAUGAGAAAGCCACGGCUAACUACGUGCCAGCAGCCGCGGUAAUACGUAGGUGGCGAGCGUUAUCCGGAAUUAUUGGGCGUAAAGAGCGCGCAGGUGGUUGAUUAAGUCUGAUGUGAAAGCCCACGGCUUAACCGUGGAGGGUCAUUGGAAACUGGUCGACUUGAGUGCAGAAGAGGGAAGUGGAAUUCCAUGUGUAGCGGUGAAAUGCGUAGAGAUAUGGAGGAACACCAGUGGCGAAGGCGGCUUCCUGGUCUGUAACUGACACUGAGGCGCGAAAGCGUGGGGAGCAAACAGGAUUAGAUACCCUGGUAGUCCACGCCGUAAACGAUGAGAAUCACUAGU
Molecule: ribosomal RNA, 484 nt
Filed under: uncultured Bacillota bacterium
Lineage: Bacteria; Bacillati; Bacillota
Description: bacterial SSU rRNA
Rfam family: Bacterial small subunit ribosomal RNA
Source: RNAcentral